RNAcentral lists this ribosomal RNA (102 nucleotides) under Guillardia theta CCMP2712. Its description in RNAcentral is "5.8S ribosomal RNA". It matches the Rfam family "5.8S ribosomal RNA", at positions 1 to 103 of the family's 154-position model. From Rfam's summary of the family: 5.8S ribosomal RNA (5.8S rRNA) is a component of the large subunit of the eukaryotic ribosome. It is transcribed by RNA polymerase I as part of the 45S precursor that also contains 18S and 28S rRNA. Lineage: Eukaryota; Cryptophyceae; Pyrenomonadales; Geminigeraceae. The record is from Rfam by way of RNAcentral.
AACUCUUAACAAUGGAUAUCUUGGUUCUCGCAACGAUGAAGAACGCAGCGAAAUGCGAUACGUAGUGUGAAUUGCAGGGCUCAGUGAAUCAUCGAGACUUGA